CACAGGGGAGCGCAGGUGCAUGCAGUGCAGCUGAGUGACUGGAAGGGUUCCAGGGAACCAGGAUCCACUCCUUCCCACACCUCAUUUAAGGUUGGCAGUAGAGGUGAGGGUAUCCUACUCGAGAUCUCUGCAAACCUGAGGUUUUCUGCAGCCUGGUGAUCCUACGCCCCUGCCUGAAAUGACGCUGGUGCUUGUAGGAGGUGUUUUUCUCUGGGCUGUGAGACUAGUGAGAUGCUGAAGCUGAGCACGGAACAGAUUCGCAGCUGAUUGCCCUGAUUGGAGCCUGGGAGGUGCUGUGCCCAAGUCAAGCAUCCAAAGGGUGCCAACUGCAUUGCUGCCAAGGUUGGGAAAAGCGUGGCCGUGUUUGGGGCUCCCUGUGGCCUCCUCACUGGGACAGCCUUUCACCAUUGACACGUGUCUCAGAGGAAGGCAACACAAUCAUGCCUACAACUCAGGCUGGGAGUAGUGAGCUCCAGCUCCUGUACCGAAGGCCAACAAAACAGUGACUGUGUCCCCAAAGGGUGCCUUGUGGUUGUAGCUCAGUGGAAGGCUACAUCCUGCCCUGUGGCAAGCUAAAGUGCUCUGACAGCAGUUUGGUCUGUUCAUCAGCUUGGCAUGGAAGGUGGCACAGGAAGAGCUGCAACUAGGGCUGGCUGAACAAAGGUCUUUGCUCUGGAGUCUCCCACCUGAUUUAUUUAACCCAGGAUGCAGUAAUUCAUCAGGAUUGUGAUUCUUUCCAGUUAGCAUUUACAUAAAUGGGAGCAAGUUCAAACCAGGUGUAUGGUCAGCAUUAUCUCCAGCAGACCUGUUCUCCAGCAUUGCAGCACUGGCAGCAUCAUCAAAUUAAUUGAGGCUUGCUGUAUGUAGCCCUCAUUUUUUGAGGCUUUAUAGCAUUGUUAUAAAACAUCACGCUACAAUGCAACUGA
RNA transcript from Phasianus colchicus (ring-necked pheasant), 926 nucleotides. It is a transcript of the gene named transmembrane neural differentiation associated intracellular calcium regulator, with no coding region annotated. The record is from RefSeq and is a predicted model, not a curated record. NCBI's taxonomy places the organism in Eukaryota, Metazoa, Chordata, Aves, Galliformes, Phasianidae.